GCAGUGACAAGUGCACACGGUGUUUCGUCGCUCCGCAUAAUUACAGAUAACUAAGAAUUUCACGAACUACGAUAUAGAAUGUCCAUACCAGUAUAUAUUAGUUUAUACAUCUCUUCGAUAUAGACAAAUCAUCAUUAUGAUUUUGACCUGGACUAUGGAUGUGUUUAUUUAAAGAAGUUUGGAUUUUGCAAUUUAAAUUUUAGUAAUAUAUGCAUUCAAAUUAAUUGAGUACAAAUUAGUCAGUUAUACAGAAAAGGAUGGUUUUAGAGUUGUGUUAGAUAUAUCAGUUUUCUUCCCUGCUUUAGAAUCAGGAACGGUUUUAGUUCUUUGAUAUUGACUAUAGUUAUCAAAUAUGUUUCAUAGCUGUGGUUAGAGCAAGAAGCAAAGGCUAUAUGGCGAAGAGGCGAGGUCUCCAUAAAUUGUGACUCAAUAUUUUAAUUUUAUCAUGUUGUUAUUGAAAAUGCUCUUAUAUAGUAGUAAUGUAGAUUUGAGAAAGUGAAACGGUACUGAAACGGUACUGAAAAAGAAAUAUUAGUGAAAAUAAAAGUG
Molecule: long non-coding RNA, 549 nt
Organism: Vespula vulgaris
Lineage: Eukaryota; Metazoa; Arthropoda; Insecta; Hymenoptera; Vespidae
Exons: 4
Source: RefSeq, a predicted model, not a curated record